RNAcentral lists this ribosomal RNA (497 nucleotides) under uncultured bacterium. RNAcentral describes it as "partial 16S ribosomal RNA". It matches the Rfam family "Bacterial small subunit ribosomal RNA", at positions 28 to 507 of the family's 1533-position model. The record is from RNAcentral.
GAUGAACGCUGGCGGCGUGCCUAAUACAUGCCAGUCGAGCGAACAGACGCGGCUCUUGUUCCUCUCACGUUAGCGGCGGACGGGUGAGUAACACGUGGAUAACCUCCUUAUAUGACUGGGAUCUUUUCGGGAAACCGGAGCUAAUCCCGUAUAAUAUCUUGAACCGCAUUGUUCAAUGGUGAAUGACGGUUUUGCGGUCACUUAUAGCUGGUUCUGAGCCGCUUUAGCUAGUUGGUAAGUUAACGGCUUACCAGGGGGAGGAGGCGUAGCCGACGUGAGAGAGUGAUCGGCCACACUGGAACGGAGCCACGGACAAGACGACUACGGGAGGCAGCAGUAGGCAAUCGGCCGCAGUGGGCGAAAGCCUGACGGAGCAACGCGACGUGAGUGAUGAAGAUCUUCGGAUCGGAAAACUCGGUUAUUAGGGAAGAACAACUGUGUAAGUAGCCAUGGACGUCGUGACGGUACCUAAUCAGAAAGCCACGGCUAACUACGUG